GUAGGAGUGCACUGAAUUGAGAUGUUGAGCCUUCACUGUGGCACAGGACACCUAAGCUCUCUACCCCAACCCAAGCUGGGCAUGGCUGAGCCUGGGCGUGGGCUUAGGCAGAAAAUGCUCUGAGGACAAGCUAGCCCAGGGCUGGAAGCCUUAGGCUCCAGAUGGGGUCACCCCAGCUGGGGCCAGGCAGCUUCCAGUGGCCUCACAUCCUUCCUGGGCCACUAAGUAAGGACCUCUAUUCUUGCCUCCCUGUCACCUUCACAGUUGUGGGAGGCCUUAACCUUCUCUGAUCUCCCUAUAUCCCCUCUCAGCCCUCUUCUCACUGUUGCCCAAGUGGCUGUGUGUCUUAGUUUGAGCUCCCUCAAAACCAAUCUCUGAAACAAGGAUUGGGGUACAGGUAGUUUAUUUGGGAGGAGACCCCCCAGGAAGUAGGCAAGAGGGGACAGUGGGAGAACAAGUCAAGGGGGAGAAAAUCCAGUAAAGGGUACAUUAAUGAAGAGUACUGGGGCUCAGUCAUGCCGGGAACCAUCUGAGAUACUGAGGCCGUGCCUCUGAAUGGCCCCAGUGAAGAAAUGAAAGGCGGGGGCAUUUAUCCAUUGACUCCCAUCCCCCUCGAUCAUGGGCAUCAGAAGGCCGCAGCCCUCUCCAGGCAGGAAAAGAUGUGCCCAUCAGUAGUCGAGAACUGUCCUUCCACAGUGCCAUUUGGCUGAUACCUGGAGUGGUGGCAGAGCCCUCUAGAGGAGGCUCAUUUGGAUAAGAGGAGAGGCAAAACAGAAGAUGCCUGAAAACACUGGACUAACAACUACUGGGAAUCACAUGUGGUCAAAAUCGCUCUGCACCAGGGGCCUGCAGACGCUCUGCCACACUAGGUGUUCUCUGUGGUCACCUCCAAGAUGAACUACCCACACUGGAAUCCUGGUCUCAGGAUCUGCCUCUGAGGAACCCAGACCAAGGCAGGCUACCAUACAGUCAAAAGUAUGGCUGAAAAAAAAAUCAACUGUCUCCCUUUUCCUAGAGGUUGUUGCAGAUUUAUGAGACCAUAUUCUUAAAGCCCGGUUAGGAGCAGACACCAGCUUUAUCCAAAACCCAUAAAAUGUGCUACAUCCCAUACAAAAUGUACUGUGCGGCCAUUUUUAAAAAUGAGGAAGAUCUCAGUAUGUUGAUAUGGAGCCAUAGCCAAGAUAUAUUGCAUAGUGAAGAAAGCAAGUGACAGAACAGCGUAUAAGAUGCCACCGUUUGUGGAUUUUAG
RNAcentral lists this long non-coding RNA (1249 nucleotides) under Equus asinus (donkey). Its description in RNAcentral is "lncRNA (ENSEASG00005031015.1)". Lineage: Eukaryota; Metazoa; Chordata; Mammalia; Perissodactyla; Equidae. The record is from RNAcentral.